GACGAACGCUGGCGGCGUGCCUAAUACAUGCAAGUAGAACGCUGAAGGAGGAGCUUGCUCUUCUGGAUGAGUUGCGAACGGGUGAGUAACGCGUAGGUAACCUGCCUGGUAGCGGGGGAUAACUAUUGGAAACGAUAGCUAAUACCGCAUAAGAGUAGAUGUCGCAUGACAUUUGCUUAAAAGGUGCAAUUGCAUCACUACCAGAUGGACCUGCGUUGUAUUAGCUAGUUGGUGGGGUAACGGCUCACCAAGGCGACGAUACAUAGCCGACCUGAGAGGGUGAUCGGCCACACUGGGACUGAGACACGGCCCAGACUCCUACGGGAGGCAGCAGUAGGGAAUCUUCGGCAAUGGACGGAAGUCUGACCGAGCAACGCCGCGUGAGUGAAGAAGGUUUUCGGAUCGUAAAGCUCUGUUGUAAGAGAAGAACGGGUGUGAGAGUGGAAAGUUCACAG
RNAcentral lists this ribosomal RNA (455 nucleotides) under Streptococcus sp. oral taxon 064. RNAcentral's name for it is "bacterial SSU rRNA". It matches the Rfam family "Bacterial small subunit ribosomal RNA", at positions 28 to 469 of the family's 1533-position model. The record is from RNAcentral. Lineage: Bacteria; Bacillati; Bacillota; Bacilli; Lactobacillales; Streptococcaceae.